Molecule: long non-coding RNA, 528 nt
Organism: Oncorhynchus keta (chum salmon)
Lineage: Eukaryota; Metazoa; Chordata; Actinopteri; Salmoniformes; Salmonidae
Exons: 3
Source: RefSeq, a predicted model, not a curated record
GUCUAAUCAGAGGAGGAAUUUAAGGAUUCCGAGCACUGAUCACUGGGGCUAAGACACAUUUAAGACACAUUUUCUACUGACCAGCCGGGCUAAGUACACGUUUAGACAAGGGGGUCCCUAAAGGGGUUUUCUGCUGACCAGCCGGGCUAAUACACGUUUAGACAAGGGGGUCCCUAAAGGGGUUUUCUGCUGACCAGCCGGGCUAAGUACACGUUUAGACAAGGGGGUUCCUAAAGGGGUUUUCUGCUGACCAGCCGGGCUAAGUACACGUUUAGACAAGGGGGUCCCUAAAGGGGUUUUCUGCUGACCAGCUGGGCUAAUACACGUUUAGACAAGGGGGUUCCUAAAGGGGUUUUCUGCUGACCAGCCGGGCUAAGUACACGUUUAGACAAGGGGGUCCCUAAAGGGGUUUUCUGCUGACCAGCCGGGCUAAGUACACGUUUAGACAAGGGGGUUCCUAAAGGGGUUUUCUGCUGACCAGCCGGGCUAAGUACACGUUUAGACAAGGGGUUCCUAAAGGGGUUUUCU